Molecule: ribosomal RNA, 1479 nt
Filed under: metagenome
Description: bacterial SSU rRNA
Rfam family: Bacterial small subunit ribosomal RNA
Source: RNAcentral
AGAGUUUGAUCCUGGCUCAGGAUGAACGCUAGCGGCAGGCUUAACACAUGCAAGUCGAGGGGUAACGAUGGUGCUUGCACCAGGCGACGACCGGCGCACGGGUGAGUAACGCGUAUGCAACCUACCUAUAACUGGGGGAUAGCCCGAAGAAAUUCGGAUUAAUACCCCAUAAUAUCACAAUUUCUCAUGAAAUUGUGAUUAAAACUCCGGUGGUUAUAGAUGGGCAUGCGUACCAUUAGUUUGUUGGUGAGGUAACGGCUCACCAAGACUACGAUGGUUAGGGGGUCUGAGAGGAUGAUCCCCCACACUGGUACUGAGACACGGACCAGACUCCUACGGGAGGCAGCAGUGAGGAAUAUUGGUCAAUGGGCGAAAGCCUGAACCAGCCAUGCCGCGUGCAGGAUGAAUGCCCUAUGGGUUGUAAACUGCUUUUCUGUAAGAAGAAACCCCUUUACGUGUAGAGGGUUGACGGUAUUACAGGAAUAAGCAUCGGCUAACUCCGUGCCAGCAGCCGCGGUAAUACGGAGGAUGCAAGCGUUAUCCGGAUUCAUUGGGUUUAAAGGGUGCGUAGGCGGAAUAAUAAGUCAGUGGUGAAAUCCUACAGCUUAACUGUAGAACUGCCAUUGAUACUGUUAUUCUUGAGUAUGGUUGAGGUAGGCGGAAUGUGCAGUGUAGCGGUGAAAUGCGUAGAUAUUGCACAGAACACCAAUUGCGUAGGCAGCUUACUAAGCCAUCACUGACGCUGAGGCACGAAAGCGGGGGAGCGAACAGGAUUAGAUACCCUGGUAGUCCACGCCGUAAACUAUGAUCACUCGUUGUUGGCGAUACACAGUCAGCGACUGAGCGAAAGCAUUAAGUGAUCCACCUGGGGAGUACGAUCGCAAGGUUGAAACUCAAAGGAAUUGACGGGGGCCCGCACAAGCGGUGGAACAUGUGGUUUAAUUCGAUGAUACGCGAGGAACCUUACCUGGGCUUAAAUGCAGGACGCUUUUUCCCGAAAGGGAUUUUUCUUCGGACGGCUUGCAAGGUGCUGCAUGGUUGUCGUCAGCUCGUGCCGUGAGGUGUCGGGUUAAGUCCCAUAACGAGCGCAACCCCUAUCGUUAGUUGCCAGCGAGUAAUGUCGGGGACUCUAACGAAACUGCCGGUGUAAACCGUGAGGAAGGUGGGGAUGACGUCAAAUCAGCACGGCCCUUAUGUCCAGGGCUACACACGUGUUACAAUGGUUGGUACAAAGAGCAGCUACUAUGUGAAUAGAUGCUAAUCUCAAAAACCAAUCUCAGUUCGGAUUGAAGUCUGCAACUCGACUUCAUGAAGUUGGAAUCGCUAGUAAUCGCGCAUCAGCCAUGGCGCGGUGAAUACGUUCCCGGGCCUUGUACACACCGCCCGUCAAGCCAUGGAGGCUUGGGGUACCUGAAGUCUGUAACCGCAAGGAGCGGCCUAAGGUAAAACAAGUAACUGGGGCUAAGUCGUAACAAGGUA